Molecule: ribosomal RNA, 119 nt
Filed under: Oryzias melastigma (Indian medaka)
Lineage: Eukaryota; Metazoa; Chordata; Actinopteri; Beloniformes; Adrianichthyidae
Source: RNAcentral
GCUUACGGCCACACCGCCCUGAGCACGCCCCAUCUCGUCUGAUCUCGGAAGCUAAGCAGGGUUGGGGCUGGUUAGUACUUGGAUGGGAGACCGCCUGGGAAUACCAAAUGCUGUAAGUU